GAGUUUGAUCCUGGCUCAGGAUGAACGCUGGCGGCACGCUUAACACAUGCAAGUCGAGCGGAAACAUAAAGGAGAGAUGACUUCGGUCAAAAGGAAUUUGUGUUUUAGCGGCGGACGGGUGAGUAACGCGUGGGUAACCUACCCUAUGCAGGGGGAUAACGUAUAGAAAUGUACGCUAACACCGCAUGAGCUUACAGGAACGCAUGUUCUAGUAAGAAAAUCUCAGGAGGCAUAGGAUGGGCCCGCGUCCUAUUAGCUAGUUGGUAAGGUAAUGGCCUACCAAGGCAUCGAUAGGUAGCCGGUCUGAGAGGAUGGACGGCCACAUUGGGACUGAGACACGGCCCAGACUCCUACGGGAGGCAGCAGUGGGGAAUAUUGCACAAUGGGGGAAACCCUGAUGCAGCGAUGCCGCGUGAAGGACGAAGGUUUUCGGAUCGUAAACUUCUAUCAGCUUGGAAUAAGAUGAAAGUACAAGAGUAAGCAGCCCCGGCUAACUACGUGCCAGCAGCCGCGGUAAUACGUAGGGGGCAAGCGUUAUCCGGAAUUACUGGGUGUAA
RNAcentral lists this ribosomal RNA (557 nucleotides) under uncultured Clostridia bacterium. RNAcentral's name for it is "bacterial SSU rRNA". It matches the Rfam family "Bacterial small subunit ribosomal RNA", at positions 9 to 563 of the family's 1533-position model. The record is from RNAcentral. Lineage: Bacteria; Bacillati; Bacillota; Clostridia.